GUAGAUGAAGAUAUGGGUUUAGAGUUUUACUCUAAAAGAUAUGAGCUAGUAGUGUGAGACAUUAGACAUUAUUAAAUUCUCUACAUGAGUAGUUUUAUUUUAGAACCAAGAUACAAUGUUUUUAUAUAUAUAAAGGUUAUAUUAUUAUAGUCCUAUCUUUUGGAUGACUGUACUAAUAUACUUUAUAUUAUGAAUUAUCUGUUUU
This 205-nucleotide long non-coding RNA is filed under the name Vigna radiata. RNAcentral's name for it is "long non-coding RNA (VRAD_LNC002101)". The record is from RNAcentral. Lineage: Eukaryota; Viridiplantae; Streptophyta; Magnoliopsida; Fabales; Fabaceae.